This is a long non-coding RNA of Folsomia candida, 964 nucleotides long. RefSeq lists it as uncharacterized. The transcript is spliced from 2 exons. The record is from RefSeq and is a predicted model, not a curated record. Lineage: Eukaryota; Metazoa; Arthropoda; Collembola; Entomobryomorpha; Isotomidae.
UAUUUAACUUGCAACCAAGUUUGUCGACUAUUCCCAGUUUUGUUGCAAAUAGAUACAUAUACACAUUUUUUAACACGAAAUCCGAAAAAGCACAACUUUAUGAACAAUCCAAGUAACCCAGGGUACAAAUUUUGGUAAUAAUUUGUGCUGAAUUUCACCUUAUUUUUCUAGGGAAAGCCUGUUGAUUUACUGCAUUCUACAAGUCAUCUUUCUCGCUUUGUUUAUUGUACUCAAUGGUGUUUUUAAAUCCACGGACGAAACCCCUUCGGGCAACGAUAAUCCUCCCCUAGAAGAACCACUCCCCCCGAAACAAACCCGACAUCCGGCUGACUCACCGCUGCCACAAAAUGUUCAACACGAAGAACGCCCUCGUUCAAGUUAUCGAGCUGUCGAAACCAUUUAAAGACAUGAAAUUUGGAGUAAACUGGUCCUACUCGGACCACAUUGUUGGACAUGGAUUAGUCGUAUCUGGAAUUACGGUAGGCAGCAAUGCCGAUCUGGAUGGACGGCUGCAACGAGGCGACAAAAUUAUUCUCGCUAAUUCCCUAAAUCUCGCAAAAAUGUCGGGAAAAGCGGGAAGUGCGGCACUUAUGAAGGAGUUGCAGACAACCUUGCACGUGCGCUUGGUCGUGGCGCGGUCGAUUCGAAAUGAUGCGUACAUCCUACCCAGCAAUGUGGUGGCAGAGGGGGAAGAUCUAGACAAGUACUUGGUUGACGAGAGAAAGGUAAAUUUUGGGGGAGAGGUAGAAUAAGAAGUAAUUCGACUUGUUUUUUAAAAUGGUGCCAAAUAAUGUAGUUGUAAAAAUAUGUUUAUUUGUGCUACUGAGAUUGUACGACAUUAUUAUGAAGCUAACAUUUCUUACAUUUCUUCUUGCUACGUAUUUUGAAUGAAAAGAAGUUCUACCAUUUUUAUAACGAAAUGGUAGUCUCAGAAAUAAAUGAAUUAACGAUUAUGAAACGGCGA